GACGAACGCUGGCGGCGUGCCUAAUACAUGCAAGUCGAACGCUGAAGAGAGGAGCUUGCUCUUCUUGGAUGAGUUGCGAACGGGUGAGUAACGCGUAGGUAACCUGCCUGGUAGCGGGGGAUAACUAUUGGAAACGAUAGCUAAUACCGCAUAAAAUGGAUUAUCGCAUGAUAAUCCAUUGAAAGGUGCAAAUGCAUCACUACCAGAUGGACCUGCGUUGUAUUAGCUAGUUGGUGGGGUAACGGCCCACCAAGGCGACGAUACAUAGCCGACCUGAGAGGGGGAUCGGCCACACUGGGACUGGGACACGGCCCAGAAUCCUACGGGAGGCAGCAGUAGGGAAUCUUCGGCAAUGGACGGAAGGCUGACCGAGCAACGCCGCGGGAGGGGAGAAGGGUUUCGGAUCGUAAAGCUCUGUUGUAAGAGAAGAACGAGUGUGAGAGUGGAAAGUUCACACUGUGACGGUAUCUUACCAGAAAGGGACGGCUAACUACGUG
RNAcentral lists this ribosomal RNA (497 nucleotides) under uncultured bacterium. RNAcentral describes it as "partial 16S ribosomal RNA". It matches the Rfam family "Bacterial small subunit ribosomal RNA", at positions 28 to 507 of the family's 1533-position model. The record is from RNAcentral.